RNAcentral lists this ribosomal RNA (520 nucleotides) under uncultured bacterium. RNAcentral describes it as "partial 16S ribosomal RNA". It matches the Rfam family "Bacterial small subunit ribosomal RNA", at positions 355 to 864 of the family's 1533-position model. The record is from RNAcentral.
UGGGGAAUAUUGCACAAUGGGCGCAAGCCUGAUGCAGCCAUGCCGCGUGUGUGAAGAAGGCCUUCGGGUUGUAAAGCACUUUCAGCGAGGAGGAAGGUGGUGAGCUUAAUACGCUCAUCAAUUGACGUUACUCGCAGAAGAAGCACCGGCUAACUCCGUGCCAGCAGCCGCGGUAAUACGGAGGGUGCAAGCGUUAAUCGGAAUUACUGGGCGUAAAGCGCACGCAGGCGGUUUGUUAAGUCAGNUGUGAAAUCCCCGGGCUCAACCUGGGAACUGCAUUUGAAACUGGCAAGCUAGAGUCUCGUAGAGGGGGGUAGAAUUCCAGGUGUAGCGGUGAAAUGCGUAGAGAUCUGGAGGAAUACCGGUGGCGAAGGCGGCCCCCUGGACGAAGACUGACGCUCAGGUGCGAAAGCGUGGGGCAGCAAACAGGAUUAGAUACCCUGGUAGUCCAGCGCUGUAAACGAUGUCGAUUUUGGAGGUUGUGCCCUUGAGGCGUGGCUUCCGGAGCUAACGCGUUAAA